UUUAUUCAAACAAAAGAAGAAACAG
This 25-nucleotide small RNA is filed under the name Arabidopsis thaliana (thale cress). RNAcentral describes it as "ATSL243120". The record is from RNAcentral. Lineage: Eukaryota; Viridiplantae; Streptophyta; Magnoliopsida; Brassicales; Brassicaceae.